CUUUACUGUAGCCUGGUAUUGGGUUCGGGCUUUGACUGCGCAGGAUAGGUGGGAGACUAUGAAGCUGCCCUUGUGGGGGCAGUGGAGUCAUCAGUGAGAUACCACUCUGUCAAGGCUAGAAUUCUAACCGUAUGCCGUUAUCCGGCGACGGAACAGUAUCAGGUGGGCAGUUUGACUGGGGCGGUCGCCUCCUAAAUGGUAACGGAGGCGCGCAAAGGUUCCCUCAGGCUGGUUGGAAAUCAGCCGAAGAGUGUAAAGGCAGAAGGGAGCUUGACUGCAAGAGCAACAACUCAAGCAGGGACGAAAGUCGGCCUUAGUGAUCCGACGGCGCUGAGUGGAAGGGCCGUCGCUCAACGGAUAAAAGUUA
RNAcentral lists this ribosomal RNA (367 nucleotides) under uncultured organism. RNAcentral's name for it is "bacterial LSU rRNA". It matches the Rfam family "Bacterial large subunit ribosomal RNA", at positions 2099 to 2465 of the family's 2925-position model. The record is from RNAcentral.